RNAcentral lists this ribosomal RNA (449 nucleotides) under uncultured bacterium. RNAcentral's name for it is "partial 16S ribosomal RNA". It matches the Rfam family "Bacterial small subunit ribosomal RNA", at positions 29 to 523 of the family's 1533-position model. The record is from RNAcentral.
AAUGAACGCUGGCGGCAUGCCUAACACAUGCAAGUCGAACGAAGGCUUCGGCCUUAGUGGCGCACGGGUGCGUAACGCGUGGGAAUCUGCCCUCAGGUUCGGAAUAACAGCGAGAAAUUGCUGCUAAUACCGGAUGAUAUCGCGAGAUCAAAGAUUUAUCGCCUGAGGAUGAGCCCGCGUAGGAUUAGCUAGUUGGUGUGGUAAAGGCGCACCAAGGCGACGAUCCUUAGCUGGUCUGAGAGGAUGAUCAGCUACACUGGGACUGAGACACGGCCCAGACUCCUACGGGAGGCAGCAGUGGGGAAUAUUGGACAAUGGGCGAAAGCCUGAUCCAGCAAUGCCGCGUGAGUGAUGAAGGCCUUAGGGUUGUAAAGCUCUUUUACCCGGGAUGAUAAUGACAGUACCGGGAGAAUAAGCUCCGGCUAACUCCGUGCCAGCAGCCGCAGUAA